GGGGAAUUAGCUUAAGUGGUGGAGCACUCGCUUAACAUGCAAGAGGCAGUGGGAUCAAUACCCAUGUUCUCCA
This 73-nucleotide transfer RNA is filed under the name Pelodiscus sinensis (Chinese soft-shelled turtle). It matches the Rfam family "tRNA". Rfam says of the family: Transfer RNA (tRNA) molecules are approximately 80 nucleotides in length. Their secondary structure includes four short double-helical elements and three loops (D, anti-codon, and T loops). The record is from Rfam by way of RNAcentral. Lineage: Eukaryota; Metazoa; Chordata; Testudines; Trionychidae.